UUUUACAUGUGACUAAAUGGCUUGAAUGCUUUAAAAAAAUUAUGUAAAAUUUAACCUUUUAUCUUUGUAUUGUAAGGGUUUGUUUAGAUACCACUUAUUAUUGAAAAUUAAAAACUGAAAACUAAAAAUACUUUAGUAAAAUAAUUUUUAAAUGUGUGAAUAGUACUGUAGGAUCCAAAUUUAUAUUAAAAUUUGUGUUUGGAUGAAUUUUGUGGGUCUAUAAACAGUGCCAUGAAACCCACAUUUUUUUAGCAAAAUGUACAAAUGCUGACAUGCUCUUUGUUUCACCGCAACCCAAACACUUACUAAGUAGUUAAAAUAUGGUUUAUAGCAAAAACUCUCAGUUUGAAAUGAGGUAUUUUUCAUAAAAAAUAAUGUCAAAUUUUUUUAAUAUAAUUUAUUAAUAAUUGGCAUAAUAACACUAAUUAACAUGAUCAUUUAUUUAUUUAUUUUUCAGAAUUCUAUGCUUUAAAUUUGCUUAUAAGUCGGUAGGUUUUAAGAGUCCUAGUCUGGUAGUAGAAAAGUAGGUAACAGUAAAGGUAGUUUCAUUAUUAUUCGGUGGGAACCAAAUUUUAAUAUAAAAUUUGCUAUAGGCCUUUUAAAAAAUAAAAGUAACUGUAGUUGUUGUGGGAAUUGUAGUGUACUUGUUACUAAAUACAUAUUGCACCUGAUCCAAUUAUUAUGAAUAGUUGAGAUUUAAAGUUAAAAAAAAAAAAAUUUAAAUCUUAACCAUUAAAUAUUAAAAAUGAGUAAAAAUAAAAAAAAUUAUAGAUAAAAAAAGUAAAAAAGAGUUGUGAAAGAGUUGGGUUAAUUAUAGGGUGCAAUUACAUUUACCAACAGGUCGAGAAAGUUGUUUGUCAAUGUACCGGAGUCUAAUAAGACUUUUUAGUACAAUUUUGUAAUAAAACGAAGGACUUUUUGGAAGUUCAGGUGUCAAAUAAGACUUUUUAGCACAAUUUAGUAAUAUAAUAAAGAACAUCCGCAUGGUAGUAAAAAAUUUAGCAAUAUAAUUCUAUAAAAAAAUUACUUUAUUUACUCUAUCUUCUCACUUUAUAAUAUACCCAACGUCAAUAACCUUAACCACAACCUAGGGCAAGGAAAAGAAAAAACAAACCACCACCCAACACAGCCACAACCUCCAGAAGCACAGCAGCCACAACCACAGCUACCAAAUCACCACCAAACCAUCAUUUCAAUCACAACCCACAUUCAAACUGACAAACAAAAAAACCAAACCACCACCACAACUACCAAACCCAUAGAAAAAAAAAAAAAAAAAA
Long non-coding RNA from Quercus lobata, 1280 nucleotides. RefSeq lists it as uncharacterized. The transcript is spliced from 2 exons. Lineage: Eukaryota; Viridiplantae; Streptophyta; Magnoliopsida; Fagales; Fagaceae. The record is from RefSeq and is a predicted model, not a curated record.